Long non-coding RNA from Drosophila rhopaloa, 705 nucleotides. RefSeq lists it as uncharacterized. The record is from RefSeq and is a predicted model, not a curated record. The transcript is spliced from 4 exons. NCBI's taxonomy places the organism in Eukaryota, Metazoa, Arthropoda, Insecta, Diptera, Drosophilidae.
ACAAGACAAAAUAAACAACCCGGGACAAAUAGGACGGAAAAGUGGCAUUGGAUGUGGCUGCCACAGCGCACCCACCCUUCCUGUGGUGCCCCUAGCGUAGCGAGGGAGGCACCACCCAUGUUCCGAGGCCGGAGCCACUGCCAGGCCAGACUACGACCGGUUCAUCUCCCCGCUGGAAAUUGCCUUAGGCCCACAUCAUCUUCAUCUCCAUUCUAAGUCAGGGCAAAACCACUACCCGGCCUGGACUGCACCAGCUGCAAGGCCGUCUUAAAAUCGGAAAUUUGGCCCCGCAGAAAAGUUUAAGCCAAGUGGCUUUCAUCAAUUAAACACCUCUUUUCUCUCCUAAUUACCCUGCUGGAGCUCCAAGAGGACACAAAAGGGACAGACCCCGAGUUAGCGCAAGGCCAGACUCAAGCUCGCGGAAUCACGAAGACGUGCAGAAACGGACAAGGGUGCGGCGAGAAAGCCGGCUGCGGGUCGCCGAAGGACGACUUGGGACCCUUAUAAAGGGACGUGGCGGUCCGGAAACCGGUAUUACGCCCUGCCCCGGCCACUGCAGACCGUGACGUCGGAGAUGCUGCGUUGUUUGGGAGUCGCGUCGUGUUCGAGGCGUAGUGCGGCUCGGGUUCUACGUGCCCGGAACGGACUCACCGAGGUAAUGUAUGUAAACUCAACUGCCUGCGGCGGUGUUGGUUGGUGUUGAUG